Molecule: ribosomal RNA, 440 nt
Filed under: uncultured bacterium
Lineage: Bacteria
Description: partial 16S ribosomal RNA
Rfam family: Bacterial small subunit ribosomal RNA
Source: RNAcentral
CCUACGGGAGGCAGCAGUGGGGGAUAUUGCACAAUGCGCGUAACCCUGAUGCAGCGACGCCGCGUGAGUGACGAAGUAUUUCGGUAUGUAAAGCUCUAUCAGCAGGGAAGAAAAUGCCAGUAACUGACCAAGAAGCCACGGCUAACUACGUGCCAGCAGCCGCGGUAAUACGUAGGGGGCAAGCGUUAUGCGGUUUUACUGGGUGUAACGGGAGCGUAGACGGCUAUGUAAGUCUGGAGUGAAAGCCCGGGGCUCAACCCCGGUACUGCUAGGGAAACUGUGUAACUGGAGUACAGGAGGGGCAGGCAGAAUUCCUGGUGUAGCGGUGAAAUGCGUAGAUAUCAGGAGGAACACCGGCGGCGAAGGCGGCCUGCUGGACUGAAACUGACGUUGAGGCUCGAAAGCGUGGGGAGCAAACAGGAUUAGAUACCCUGGUAGUC